GAAAAUCCGAAUUAUUACAGAAGAGUUUUCACCAUGCACUUGCACUGCACUAUUAUUAGAAUAGUAGAAUAGAAUGCUAUAGCAUUUGGAUCAAAAUUAUGUAUACAUGUAACUGUUAUAUACAAAUAUUAAUUUAAUAUAUAACAACAAACCAGAGUAUACUGAUUUGUAUCACUACAAUAUAAUUGUGAUUACGGUGAGGUUGAAUUCCCUGUCAUUUAUUCAUCAUCCAAGCACGAACUUGUCUCAGAAAAAAAUAUAUCUCUGUAAGUUAACCUCACUUUCAGGUAUUGAGAUGUGAUUUUCUUUUAGACAAGUGCGUGUGACCAUCCACGAGAACUUGCGGUCAUCCGAUGUUCAGUACUUCAGUCCUUUGAUACUGUUUGUUCUAGUAAAUAUUACAUCAGCCAAUGAAAUUCAGCCUUCACAUUUUUGAAGGUGUAUAUAAAUCCGACAAAACCGAGAAUCCCAAUGGUCUUUAAACAGAAAAUAGAAUGGAGCGUUUUCAGAUCCGCGUAAGCAUAGCUUGGACACACAAUAUCUGUAAUUUAAUUAGAUUUGUGUCUGAAUGAACAUAAAAACACUGUAUUUAUUUUUUGUUUACUGAGGCCUGGUGGUCUCUGACAGAUAGAGAGUUGUGUUUUCAAUUUUUCUAAGUGAAGAUUUACGGCGGUGACUUUUAAUAUUUUGCGUUUAUCUUUAAAACUACAAUAGAUUAAAAAAAUAAUAGUGCAAUGUGUCUGAAUAUAUUCUAUGGUAAAUUUUAAGGUCCCAUUUUGGGCAAUUUUGGCUCUUAUGAGUUUUGUUGUUUUAUUGCCUAUUAUCUUGAUACUUAUUUAUAGAGAAACCUUUUCUUAGCAAAAUAGUUUUCUCGUUUGAAUUGUUUUACAUUGUCAUCAUGGGGCCUUUUAUACUGACUAUGCGGUAUGGGCUUUGCUCAUUGUUGAAGGCCUUACGGUUACCUAUAGUUGUUAAUUUCUGUGUCAUUUUGGUCUCUUGUGGAGAGUUGUCUCAUUGGCAAUCAUACCACAUCUUCUUUUUUUUUAUAUUAUAAGAACAGAUUUAAAAAUAAGUAAAUUAUAAUUAUUGUCAUUUUCAUCAUUGGUGGUGGGGACGGGGUAGGAAAGAUGGGAAUUCCUCUAAUUUUUUUCCAAGUCAUUACCGUGAAAUAGGGAAAAAAACACAAUCAUUCCAAAGACAUAAACUUUACACCCCCCCCUAAAAAAAACCACCAGAGAACAAUUACAC
Molecule: long non-coding RNA, 1248 nt
Filed under: Mytilus galloprovincialis (Mediterranean mussel)
Lineage: Eukaryota; Metazoa; Mollusca; Bivalvia; Mytilida; Mytilidae
Source: RNAcentral